GGCUCACGCUUUCGCUAAACCAGCUGCCGUGUCAUCGGGGCCGUUUGCAGGCCGUGGGCAUCAAGUGGCGCCGCGCCACGCGCUGGGGCCUGGGAGCGCCACUUCGCCUCCUGAGGCGGCGGGGCUCGGGCUCGGCAGGGCCUGGAGCUCUGCGGGGAUAACGAGGCUUUUCCACUGUGAAAAAUGUGUAUCUUGUGACUGGCUUUUCGCAAGUAUUAAAGUGAAUAUUGUUUGUGUUAUGUUAGAAAGUUGUGUUGUAUUAAUUUUCUUAAGUAGUGUGUUAAAUAUAGUUUUAGGUUAUGACAUAAUGUUAUAAUAGAAACUAUGCUGUGGAAGAUACUUUUUUAAGAAAGGACUCACACCAGAUAACAGCCACAGGACACCUAAAUCUUUCAGAGAAAGAGAAAACUAGAAAACUAACUUCUUCCCACCUCGCUCAGACUGGAAGACGGCAUGAGGAUUAAGAGGAGAAGUUGACAGUGACCAGACAGAAUCCUGUGUUUGAAUGGAAUUUGUGCAUCGUGUAUGAGAUAUAUGAAUAUGCAACAGGCGAUUGUUUAUAAGGGUUAAUCCUCUGUUAAUGGGUGUCCUUUUUCGGGCUUGUGUUGCCCAGAAAAAGGUACCCAGAUACCUGUUUCUCCUUGUUUUUAUUGUCUCAUACUGUCCUAAUCUCAAUUGUUCAAAUCUUAUUACUCUAAUUAUAUUACUAUUUUUUACUAUUUUAUUACUAUUAAACUUUUAAAAUUUUACAAACAAGUGAUUGGCGUUUUUCAGAUCCAGGGCAUCUGCAAACAUCUUUGACGUUUGCAUAGCUACAUUGCACAGAUAACAGAAUUGAUGGCAUUCCAUCCCAAGCCUGCAUGUGGGGCUUAAACGGAAUGAAGAUGAGCUGCUGUUGCUUAUGUCACCUGUGCUCGGUGUCAGCGACUGCCACCAGAGGCUGGUCACCCUCACACACCAGUGAGGAGGCUCUUCCAGCAGGGGACAGCGGUGCACAGCAGCGCUUGAAAGUAUCCCGGAACCUUUACGGCCUCUUGUCUUCCCAAGAUCCAGUAUGAGGUGCUGCAUGCUUCUGAAUCAUGCAGAAGACAAUUCACCUUAUUAAAUAAUUUAAGAAAAUGUCUUACAAACAGUGUUUCGUAGCACUGAUUUUCUGAUAUGUUUGUAUUUUUAAUAAAUUACCUGGAGGAUGUAUAGUUACUUGCACCAUAUAUCUUUAAAAAACUACUUUGUCACAUUCCUUUUCUUGGGAAAUAGCCUUCCAUGUACAACAAAGAGUGACCAAGAAAAAAUUUCCUUUCCAAUAGAGAGGACCUGACCACAGGUCAUCUUGUACUUUCUGUGGAGAUGGAAAGAGCAUUGGAGUGGCCUUUUUCCUUCUCUCCUGUAGGAAACUUCUUCACAUAUUAAUACAAUAUAUAGUAUAAUUCCCUGUGUAGUAGUCUUUGAGCCAAGGAAAUAUUUAAGAACUUUUGAUAAUUCUGAUUUGAGGAAAACUCCAUUUUCAUUUAGACUUAGUAGGGGCAUAUGCAAUAUCUUGUGAUGAAAAAUGCUUUUCAGACUGAAUAUUUAGUACAUGGUUUUUAUUUCUGCAACAAAUUUAUUCUCUUUACAAUUGUCCCCUGUGAGCUCUGGAUGCAGUUAUUUUCUGAUACUGUGGAGGGAUUGGCAGGUCACUUCAACCCAGCUGUCAGGAUGGGUUCUAAAUAUAGCCCAAAGUGUUUCUGCUGGGGUAAAAAUUGUAAAUUUCAGAUUAUUUUACUUUAAGUCUGUUCUCCUGAUGUAAUAGAAGAUUUCAUAAAUAGUUGCUAAGAAGUUAAAACCUAAUGAAUAUUAAAGUCAUGUUACUUAAAGCCUUACUCUGCCUUGAUUGCAUGGACUUCUGCCCUUUGCACAUAUCAUUUAGAAGGGGGCAGACAGCACAAAAAGGUUGAAAUCCAUCACAAGCAAUUUUUCUGGAACUUUUAGUUAUUGUCUUACAGAGAUGGGAAGACUGGGAAGUGCCAUUGUGCCAUUGUUUGUGAUUUAAAUUAUCUCUCCGUGUUAUUUUAAUUCUGUUCUCAGAAACAAAUCCCGUUAGAAGAACCUUUGCAGCCUUCUGCCAGUAACCAAGUAGGUAAUAAAUGAAAACCCACACAUCCAUAUGCAGGAAGCUGGUCAAUCACAGGGAAUAAUUGCCUUUCCCAGCAGCUUGCUUCGAGGUGGGAAAGGCUACAUAUUUGUUCCUUGCUGCAGUGUGUUUAUAGAUCAUGCUGUGGCUUGGAAUAGGAAAAUAGCACUGCAUAAAGAUUUGUGCUAUGAUAGUUCAGUACUAUGUAGGCUCAUAUCUUAGAGAGGGUAGACCCAGGGGACACUUUGCUCUGAGUCUCUUGUUACUGUAGGAAUUUCACCAAUGUCUGAGAGGAAAUUGGAAUUUUGCAGAAAGCAAAAACCCAACAGCAUAUAAUUUAAGCCCACAAGCAGUCUAUCCCAUUUAUUUGAAAGAAGAUCCCUCUGAAUUUUAGUUUCUAGGGUCUGAGCUCUAAAAUCUGUUUUCUUGCAAGUCAUCCUUAGCACACAUACUUACUCCUUUUGGGGACUGUGAGGUCUCCUUUUGGUACAGCAGGGAAUGGGAUAUUCAGACUGGGGUGUUUGUUAGAUAUUUCACAGGCUGCCUGCAGUGUCUUGUUUCAAGCAUGUGAAAUAAGGAACAGACAGGAGUCUCUGCUAGAUUUUGAAGCAGAGGUUGUGACUUUUGGAAGAGUAGGUCCAUAGGCUGUCAAAAAUUCAGACAUUGGCCUGCAGGGAAGAGUAACAAAGCAAAUUGCUAAGUCUGGAAGCAAACUAUGGUAAGAGAUGUUUUCAAACUUUUAGGGCCCUAGGAUCACCUCUAUACCUUGAAAGUUUUUUUUUUUCUUCUUCUCUGUGGGUAUAAAGAGACAAAUUUUCUUUUUUUCCUGCAACUUUGAAUUAAUAGUGACAAUGAACUGUUUCAGUCUGGAAUAUGGAUUCAACUUACCUAUCUAUCAGUAAUGGGACAUGGCAAACACAAAAAUGUGGACUUGAUCUUGAGGAUUGGGAAAGAAUAUUGACCACAGGAAAGAGUAUUUAGGGACCUAAGAGGGCUGCCUUGUGUGACCUGCUGACCAUGUGGGUAUGCAUGCAUGCAGUGAUAGACUGGGUAAUAUGAUCAGCCUCAUGAUUUGAGGGUUCUUGUAUCAAAGUGCCAUCAAGUUCCUAAUUGGGACAUAGUGCCAUUUUAUUUUAUUUAGCAAAAUUGUUAUAACUCAUGAGUUGAAAAAUAAGGGCCAGAGUCAGAGAGGAAAUAAAACACCACAAGAAAUAUGUAUGCACAAGCAAUUUCUAUAAACAGUAAUGAAAACGUGUAAGUUACAUAUAGGUCCUGGUGCAGAAGGUGAAUUUAAUAUUCCUCAAGGCUGUGUCAUUGAAGAGACCCUUGGUUCAGCCGUGGUAAUACCUGUGUGUUAGCACCUUUCUGUGCUGCUUUCACCUGGCGUGCCUUGCCUGGGAGUGCUGCUGAGCAUUGGCUACACCUGUGCUUUGAAUCAGGUGCUGGCAAUCCUGAAGCUCUCACUUAGGGCCGCAGUACAGCCCUUUGUCCUGGCAUCCUGAGAUGGAAGUGGUUACUGGGCUUGUUUCAGCUGAGGUCUGUGUAAACCCAUUUGGCAGAGGCAGUGUUUGAGGAAGUCCAGUGCCACUAACUUUGUCUGAGGCAGUGGCUGUAGCUGAGAAGCAUCCUGUGCACAACUUGGGCUCCUCAUUAGGAGCUUUGCUACAGCAUGGUCUUCAAACAGGUCAGAUUGCUGGAAAAACUUAGAGAUUACUUUUACAAUGACUCCCACUGAAAGAAACACAAUUCACUUGUACCUAUUGCAUUUUGGGCUUUAUCUUUUAUUUGCAAGGCAGCACUUUAACAUCUCUGUUUCUAUAAAUGAGCCCAAAUGAGAAACAGAUAAUGAUUUUGGAUGUGGCGUCAGUCAGCACUAUCCCAUUUUGCAGUCCACAUGAGAAAGUGCAAGUGUGGCAGAUGUGCCACUUAGUGAAGCACUACGAGAUGGAGCACUUCCAGAAUGCUUGUUCCUUAGCUGUUAUCUUCUCAUGCUCUGCUGAAAGCUCAGAAUGUUAGAAAUGUCAGAUGCCUUGAUUUCAUGGCUGUGCACAGUGGGAGCUCAGAGCCACGCAGUAGAGCCUUAUUGGAAGCACAGAAAAUUUGAGGCAGUCCUCGUUUCCUCCAUGUGCAGCUCUUUAAAGGUGGGACUCUUAUGAAAACAUGAUGGAUUUUCACCAAGCCUGUGAUAAUGUGAGUUUUGUACCAGAUAGGUGUUACUUUUUUGUCUAGAUAGACUGCUGGUGGAAGAAGCCAACACUUACUUGAUAUGCUUUAAUAUUUUCCCAUUUCUCUGGUGUAUGCUGCUUGCUAUUUUAGAUUCUGAAUCCUCUGAAGCACUGAUAGAAUCUCUGGAAAUUAUCCCCUGGACAAUGUGUGCAAUUGUAAUUCAAAUGAAAUAAUGAAAAUAAUAAGAAGACUUGAUAUAUUCUGACUAUAUGUAAUGCAGUAGACAAUAGCUUGAUAUGUUUGUUACAUUUAGAUCUUUGUGCAAAUUAAAGAUUUUAUUUUUUCUGUAGUGGGCUGCAUUUUGCUUUAGCUGUAUUUGGAAUUUCACAUGUAUCAAAGCUUAAUGUGAACAAAUUACAAUGUUUUCAAUGCAGUGCAAUUUGCAAUUCUCUUUAUUUUUUUCUCCAUGGUCUUUUCCUUUGUUCCUCUGAAUGAGGGUAUUUUUUUCUUUCUCUCUCACUGAUUACUUUUGGAUCCAAGUAUGAACAUUCUUUCUUUUUUCCUUUUUAAAUGAAAGUACCUGAACUUACCUGGGUCUUUUGUACGCA
Molecule: long non-coding RNA, 4884 nt
Organism: Passer domesticus (house sparrow)
Lineage: Eukaryota; Metazoa; Chordata; Aves; Passeriformes; Passeridae
Exons: 2
Source: RefSeq, a predicted model, not a curated record